UGCAAGUCGAACGAUGAAGCUUUUAGCUUGCUAGAAGUGGAUUAGUGGCGCACGGGUGAGUAAGGUAUAGUUAAUCUGCCCUACACAAGAGGACAACAGUUGGAAACGACUGCUAAUACUCUAUACUCCUGCUUAACACAAGUUGAGUAGGGAAAGUUUUUCGGUGUAGGAUGAGACUAUAUAGUAUCAGCUAGUUGGUAAGGUAAUGGCUUACCAAGGCUAUGACGCUUAACUGGUCUGAGAGGAUGAUCAGUCACACUGGAACUGAGACACGGUCCAGACUCCUACGGGAGGCAGCAGUAGGGAAUAUUGCGCAAUGGGGGAAACCCUGACGCAGCAACGCCGCGUGGAGGAUGACACUUUUCGGAGCGUAAACUCCUUUUCUUAGGGAAGAAUUCUGACGGUACCUAAGGAAUAAGCACCGGCUAACUCCGUGCCAGCAGCCGCGGUAAUACGGAGGGUGCAAGCGUUACUCGGAAUCACUGGGCGUAAAGGGCGCGUAGGCGGAUUAUCAAGUCUCUUGUGAAAUCUAAUGGCUUAACCAUUAAACUGCUUGGGAAACUGAUAGUCUAGAGUGAGGGAGAGGCAGAUGGAAUUGGUGGUGUAGGGGUAAAAUCCGUAGAUAUCACCAAGAAUACCCAUUGCGAAGGCGAUCUGCUGGAACUCAACUGACGCUAAGGCGCGAAAGCGUGGGGAGCAAACAGGAUUAGAUACCCUGGUAGUCCACGCCCUAAACGAUGUACACUAGUUGUUGGGAUGCUAGUCAUCUCAGUAAUGCAGCUAACGCAUUAAGUGUACCGCCUGGGGAGUACGGUCGCAAGAUUAAAACUCAAAGGAAUAGACGGGGACCCGCACAAGCGGUGGAGCAUGUGGUUUAAUUCGAAGAUACGCGAAGAACCUUACCUGGGCUUGAUAUCCUAAGAACCUUAUAGAGAUAUGAGGGUGCUAGCUUGCUAGAACUUAGAGACAGGUGCUGCACGGCUGUCGUCAGCUCGUGUCGUGAGAUGUUGGGUUAAGUCCCGCAACGAGCGCAACCCACGUAUUUAGUUGCUAACGGUUCGGCCGAGCACUCUAAAUAGACUGCCUUCGUAAGGAGGAGGAAGGUGUGGACGACGUCAAGUCAUCAUGGCCCUUAUGCCCAGGGCGACACACGUGCUACAAUGGCAUAUACAAUGAGACGCAAUACCGCGAGGUGGAGCAAAUCUAUAAAAUAUGUCCCAGUUCGGAUUGUUCUCUGCAACUCGAGAGCAUGAAGCCGGAAUCGCUAGUAAUCGUAGAUCAGCCAUGCUACGGUGAAUACGUUCCCGGGUCUUGUACUCACCGCCCGUCACACCAUGGGAGUUGAUUUCACUCGAAGCCGGAAUACUAAACUA
Molecule: ribosomal RNA, 1373 nt
Filed under: Campylobacter jejuni
Lineage: Bacteria; Pseudomonadati; Campylobacterota; Epsilonproteobacteria; Campylobacterales; Campylobacteraceae
Description: bacterial SSU rRNA
Rfam family: Bacterial small subunit ribosomal RNA
Source: RNAcentral